UUUAUAAUAUACCGUAACGGUACCCAAAUUGCAACGAGUACCUAAAUUGCACCUAUUUAGCAAAAAUAGCAGUGGAAGUCUUACAAGAUUUCCUAGAGACUAAACAAGUUGUAUUUUUAUGAUCCGAUAGUAUGCACGUCUUUCAACAUAGGUAAAUAUAUUUAGAUAUACACAAAACGUUUACAGUAUUUAUCAACAAAUGAAGUGUUUACUGAAAAAGCAAAAUGUACUGAAACGUCGCCAUGCGACGUCAUCAAAACGUCAUCUUUUUAAAAUUAGCAAAUACAAUAUGUUUCAAGUAUCCAUUUCUUAAAAAAAGAAGAGUAAGCAUGGACAAAUAUCCAAUUGUUCAAAAUAUUU
RNAcentral lists this long non-coding RNA (360 nucleotides) under Mytilus galloprovincialis (Mediterranean mussel). The record is from RNAcentral. Lineage: Eukaryota; Metazoa; Mollusca; Bivalvia; Mytilida; Mytilidae.